GGGUUUGUAGCUCAACAGGCAGAGCAGCCGCCUUCCCCUCCAGGCCGACCCGGGUUCGAGUCCCGGCAAACCCA
RNAcentral lists this transfer RNA (74 nucleotides) under Nocardia ignorata. It matches the Rfam family "tRNA". From Rfam's summary of the family: Transfer RNA (tRNA) molecules are approximately 80 nucleotides in length. Their secondary structure includes four short double-helical elements and three loops (D, anti-codon, and T loops). Further hydrogen bonds mediate the characteristic L-shaped molecular structure. tRNAs have two regions of fundamental functional importance: the anti-codon, which is responsible for specific mRNA codon recognition, and the 3' end, to which the tRNAs corresponding amino acid is attached (by aminoacyl-tRNA synthetases). tRNAs cope with the degeneracy of the genetic code in two manners: having more than one tRNA (with a specific anti-codon) for a particular amino acid; and 'wobble' base-pairing, i.e. permitting non-standard base-pairing at the 3rd anti-codon position. The record is from Rfam by way of RNAcentral. Lineage: Bacteria; Bacillati; Actinomycetota; Actinomycetes; Mycobacteriales; Nocardiaceae.